This 3900-nucleotide long non-coding RNA is filed under the name Homo sapiens (human). RNAcentral describes it as "HSALNT0215315". Lineage: Eukaryota; Metazoa; Chordata; Mammalia; Primates; Hominidae. The record is from RNAcentral.
CUUCGGUAAACGUUACUUAUGUGCGUCUCAUAAAUCAGGUGUCUGAGUUCUCAGGCUGUGGCUGCAGUCUACCAUUGAAUUACAUCCCGUGAGCAAUGUUGUCCGAUUUCACCGGCCAGCACGUUCUUCUCGAGUGUGGGAUUGGUUUUUGCAAGACCUCGAAAGGAUUUUGAUAAGCCACCUGCUUAAGGCCGGCUGAAAAAGAAGAAAGGAGGGCAUAUGUGGGUCAGCUCACUCGGAAUAGAAGAGGAAUCAGAUUGCACCCUUUGUGGAAACCAGGCUCACGGCUGACUCCCUUCACAGCGUCUUCUCUGCUAACCUGAGAGGGAACCCAUCCCCUUUCUCGCUGAAGGCGCAAGAUGCUGGAUCCGUGCUUUUCUUGUGCACGUGCAACAGUGGAAGUGAUGGCUGACUGUGUGUUGGCUCCAUAAGAAGAACAUCACAGAAAGCAAAAUGGUGCCAGCUCAACACCAGUAUCCUCGGACUCUUCAGACAGAAAAACCUGUUAAUUCCAAUCACAAUUCAUUCUUUCAUUCAGCUCAUGGAAGCCAAGCAGGGCUUUGGGACAUUCAUUCUGGCAAAGUGAAACAACUGACUUUUUGUGAAUGCUAUUUAAGUUGUUUAAAUUUUCCACAUUGGAAAUAAAGUCAUUGCAUUUUUGUGAGGAUAAAACACAAAUUGUGGUGGAGUCCAGCGUCAUGGUAACAAUAAUAUUCCUACUAAAUUAAGACACUAAUGAAACAGAAAUGUGAUUGGAACAGGUCAUGGUGCACACACAAUUUGUUAUUGCAUAUAAAUAAAUGUCAAUAUUCUAUAAAUUGACAUUUAUAGACGUACGUGACAAAAUUUACAAAAUGUUAAAACAUAUGCACAGAUUUACUGAACUACAAACUUGUGAUAAAGUUGUUCAUGAAUUUUUUUAAAAAACUGGACUUUCACAUGUGUUUUCUCUUUUAUUUUCCCAUUAUCAAUCAAUUUUAGUGGACAUUGAGUCUCAGCAUCCUAAAAUGUUAUUAAACAGUGUAUUAAAACAGAUCUAUAAAUUUUCGUUGAAUUUUGUUCCAAAUCAGUUGGAAAUAUUUAGUCAAGUUAUUCAAUGAAUAGAGCAGCAAAACGUCAACUUUCAAAGCUUUUAGUGAAUUAUAAAUAUUGAAAACAAAGCUGGUAUGCAGAAAAAUUAUAAAAUGUAUCAGAAAAUGAUCAAAAUCAAAUGCUGUACAAGAGUUAAUUUUGAAAUUCUAAAAUGAGCUCUGGAACAUUUCAGCUUGUGGGAAGAAUCUUUUUAAUUGGAUAAAUUCAUGUUCUGUAUGAAAUGAGAUGAAAUUGAGAAAGCCAAUGAUUUUUUUUUUUUUUGCAGUAUCUGAAUCUGACAAAACAUUCAAAACUUAUAAGUAGGUACAACUUAUUUGAAAGGUUUAAUCUGGUUAAAAAAAAAUACGUGUGGGCUGGGCACGGUGUGGCUCAUGCCUGUAAUCCCAGCACUUUGGGAGGCUGAGGCAGGUGGAUCACAUGAGGUCAGGAGUUCAAGACCAACCUGGCCAACAUGGUGAAACUUUGUCUCUACUGAAAACACAAAAAUUAGCCGGGCAUGGUGGCAGGCGCCUGUAAUCCCAGCUACACAGGAGGCUGAGGCAGGAGAAUUGCUUGAACCUGGGAAGCGGAGGUUGUGGCGAGCCAAGAUCGCACCACUACAUUCCAAACUAAGGCACAAAGACAGCACCUGUGAAAAUAUCUGGGCUAAAAUAUUUAUGCAAUUCCAUAUGCAAAGAAUUGGACUUGAGAACAGCCUCUGCCUGGCAGAAUUUGCUGAGAGCUUAUCACUCAGAACCUGCACAGGGAACAUUUUCUCAAUAUAUUAUGGUUCAAGAGAAGAGUCAAUUGAAGGUACUAAUUUAAAUUUGUUAAUUGUAAAAUUUGUGGAAAAAAGAUUUCAGGCAAUUAUAUGGAAAAAUUAAAAAUAACAAGACCCCACUGAAGAAAAUACAUUCUUGUGAAAAAUGCCAGUGACAGGGUAUCAGUCAGGUACAAGAAACUGUAGCAUGUGAAUAUACAACAAGAACAAUUAUUUUGCUUAUCUUAUUUUUAAAUGUUCAGUUGAUUAACAUAAACAUGUUUUCUUUUGCUUUAAUAUUCAUAGGUGUAUGCAUAUAUAUUUAAAGACUUUUUUGAAAAUAGUUUUUAUCUAGAACUACUUUAUAACACCAUCAAUAUAAUAUAACCAUUUUGUUGGAUUUUUUCCCCUUCCUUCCUUCCUUCCCUUCAUUCCCUCCUUCUCUCCUUCCCUCCCUACCCUCCUUCCCUCCUUCCUUCCUUCCUUCCUCCAUCCCUCCCUUCCUCCCUCCCUUCUUCCCUCCCUCCCAUCCUGCUUUCCUUCCUUCCUUCCUUCCCUUCCUUCUUUCCUUCCUUCCUUCUUUCCUCUCUCUUUCUACCUGUAAAUACUAAUUUUUGGGGGAAAUAAUUUUUGACUAUUGGGGUGCCCCGGCAGUGUGCACACACAUGGCCUGACCAUCCCUCUCCUAGCUAUCUCUGAUGAUGGCCAGGAAGCUGAGGUCUAUGGUGACAGAGGCUGGCAGGUGGGAAUCUGUAGAAUUCCCCGGCGAUUGGUUGGGAUUUCUCAGGGAGAAAGGAGGCGAGGUCCUGACCUGUGGUGGAGGGGCUGGGGCAUUGAGAGUUUGAGAAGAGAUGGGAGGGUGUUGAGCACUGAUAUGGUUUGGCUGUGUCCCCACCCAAAUCUCAUCUUGAGUUGUAGCUCCCAUAAUUCUCUCGUGUUGUGUGAGGGACUUGGUGGGAGAUAAUUGAAUCAUGGGGAUGGAGAACAAAGCCAAGCCAAUAUCUUGACUUUAGCUCAGCGAGACUGAGUUUGAACUCCUGAUCUCCAGAACUGUAAGAUAAUAACUUGCAUCGUUUUAAGCCACUCACUUUGUGAUAAUUAAUUAUAGCAGCCUUAGGAAACCAGCACGGGGGUGAGGCUGCACCCUGCCCAGGAAGCCAGAGACGACCAGCUACGCAGGGACUUUAGCUCGAACCUGAUUAGGUCAGUGGACACCGCCCCCAUCCCCAGGACGGGGAGGUGGCUGGGGCCACUGCAGCCACAGCAUGUGUCUGCUCACAUGGGGCUUAUUUUUAAAGGGAUUGUCCUCACCUGCUGCUGUCUGUGUUUAUAAAGUUGGCUAGAGAGGAGAAAUCUUCCUUUGCCAGUUUUCAGCUUUAGCUCUGAUAUUUGCCUGGAACAUAGUAGGUGCUCAAUAAACAAUAUCUCUGGAUAUUGUUAGUAAUAUGUGACCCUAUUUGAAGAACUCAGAAGGGGCACUGGGCAAGUCUACAAGAGAUGGCAAUUCUGUAAUUCCUGUGUGGUAUUUUCUGAAUUCUGCACAUUUUAACCUAGGCUAUGAGACAGUGUGACUUUCUUCAACAAAUUAGUUAAUUCUUCAAAUUAACUCCAAUUUCAACAGCAUGGUGAUGUUAAAGGCAUUGGAAAUUCAGCCACAGAUGUUAAAGACCAUCAGCACGGUCACAUAGUAAGAUGCUACUUUCAAGCCACGAAUAACCCAACCAGUUAUUGGUCUUAUGAAAUCUUGUAAGCCAUCCCAGAGAGACUAAUUUAAUUUUUAUGAUUCAGAAUUUGCAGGCUGUAACUGGUCAGUCCAUGCGAACUCUGGUGGCUGCAUUCAGCCCUGACAUGUUUCACCUGACUUUGAUAUAAGGAGCUACUGGAACCUUCCUACGAGUUCUAAAACCUUUCCCUCCUCCUCCUGUUCUGGAAAAGCAAUUAAGACCCAAACUAGGCAUGAAAUAAAAGUCUCUUAAAUUGAUUUAGAAUUAUUUUUAAAAAGUACCCUCACAGAAGUGGAAAAUUUUGCCAAUAGGUAGGUGUAAAAGGAAGUUUUUUGUUUUUCUAAG